Molecule: ribosomal RNA, 400 nt
Filed under: uncultured bacterium
Lineage: Bacteria
Description: bacterial SSU rRNA
Rfam family: Bacterial small subunit ribosomal RNA
Source: RNAcentral
GGGAAUCUUGGACAAUGGGGGCAACCCUGAUCCAGCGACGCCGCGUGGGUGAUGAAGGCCUUCGGGUUGUAAAGCCCUUUCGCCGGGGAUGAUGAUGACGGUACCCGGUGCAGCAGCACCGGCUAACUCCGUGCCAGCAGCCGCGGUAAGACGGAGGGUGCUAGCGUUGUUCGGAAUUACUGGGCGUAAAGGGCGCGUAGGCGGCCUGGGGAGUCGGCUUGUGAAAGCCCGGGGCUCAACCCCGGAGGUGCGGCCGAUACUCCCUGGCUAGAGGCCGGAAGAGGAGGGUGGAAUACCCAGUGUAGAGGUGAAAUUCGUAGAUAUUGGGUGGAACACCGGUGGCGAAAGCGGCUCUCUGGUCCGGACCUGACGCUGAGGCGCGAAAGCGUGGGGAGCAAAC